This 406-nucleotide ribosomal RNA is filed under the name uncultured bacterium. Its description in RNAcentral is "partial 16S ribosomal RNA". It matches the Rfam family "Bacterial small subunit ribosomal RNA", at positions 29 to 526 of the family's 1533-position model. The record is from RNAcentral.
AUCGAACGCUGGCGGCAGGCCUAACACAUGCAAGUCGAACGAGUGGCGGCCGGGUGAGUAAUGUUUGGGAUAUUGCCCGAUGUCGGGGGAUAACUACUGGAAACGGUAGCUAAUACCUCAUACCAUCGGAUGUGCCCAGAUGGGAUUAGCUAGUAGGUGGGGUAACGGCUCACCUAGGCGACGAUCCCUAGCUGGUCUGAGAGGAUGACAGGACACACUGGAACUGAGGCACGGUCCGAACGACAAGUGGAGAAAGGAGUGGGGAAUAGGGCACAAUGGGCGCAAGCCUGAUGCAGCCAUGCCGCGGGUAUGAAGAAGGCCUGCGGGUUGUAAAGUGCUUUCAGCGGGGAGGCGUUACUCGCAGAAGAAGCACCGGCUAACUCCGUGCCAGCAGCCGCGGUAAUAC